RNAcentral lists this ribosomal RNA (1373 nucleotides) under uncultured bacterium. RNAcentral's name for it is "bacterial SSU rRNA". It matches the Rfam family "Bacterial small subunit ribosomal RNA", at positions 28 to 1381 of the family's 1533-position model. The record is from RNAcentral.
GAUGAACGCUGGCGGCGUGCCUAAUACAUGCAAGUCGAGCGAACAGAUAAGGAGCUUGCUCCUUUGAAGUUAGCGGCGGACGGGUGAGUAACACGUGGGUAACCUACCUAUAAGACUGGGAUAACUUCGGGAAACCGGAGCUAAUACCGGAUAACAUUUAGAACCGCAUGGUUCUAAAGUGAAAGAUGGUUUUGCUAUCACUUAUAGAUGGACCCGCGCCGUAUUAGCUAGUUGGUAAGGUAACGGCUUACCAAGGCGACGAUACGUAGCCGACCUGAGAGGGUGAUCGGCCACACUGGAACUGAGACACGGUCCAGACUCCUACGGGAGGCAGCAGUAGGGAAUCUUCCGCAAUGGGCGAAAGCCUGACGGAGCAACGCCGCGUGAGUGAUGAAGGGUUUCGGCUCGUAAAACUCUGUUAUUAGGGAAGAACAAAUGUGUAAGUAACUGUGCACAUCUUGACGGUACCUAAUCAGAAAGCCACGGCUAACUACGUGCCAGCAGCCGCGGUAAUACGUAGGUGGCAAGCGUUAUCCGGAAUUAUUGGGCGUAAAGCGCGCGUAGGCGGUUUCUUAAGUCUGAUGUGAAAGCCCACGGCUCAACCGUGGAGGGUCAUUGGAAACUGGGAAACUUGAGUGCAGAAGAGGAAAGUGGAAUUCCAUGUGUAGCGGUGAAAUGCGCAGAGAUAUGGAGGAACACCAGUGGCGAAGGCGACUUUCUGGUCUGUAACUGACGCUGAUGUGCGAAAGCCUGUGGGAUCAAACAGGAUUAGAUCCCCUGGUAGUCCACGCCGUAAACGAUGAGUGCUAAGUGUUAGGGGGUUUCCGCCCCUUAGUGCUGCAGCUAACGCAUUAAGCACUCCGCCUGGGGAGUACGACCGCAAGGUUGAAACUCAAAGGAAUUGACGGGGACCCGCACAAGCGGUGGAGCAUGUGGUUUAAUUCGAAGCAACGCGAAGAACCUUACCAAAUCUUGACAUCCUUUGAAAACUCUAGAGAUAGAGCCUUCCCCUUCGGGGGACAAAGUGACAGGUGGUGCAUGGUUGUCGUCAGCUCGUGUCGUGAGAUGUUGGGUUAAGUCCCGCAACGAGCGCAACCCUUAAGCUUAGUUGCCAUCAUUAAGUUGGGCACUCUAGGUUGACUGCCGGUGACAAACCGGAGGAAGGUGGGGAUGACGUCAAAUCAUCAUGCCCCUUAUGAUUUGGGCUACACACGUGCUACAAUGGACAAUACAAAGGGCAGCUAAACCGCGAGGUCAUGCAAAUCCCAUAAAGUUGUUCUCAGUUCGGAUUGUAGUCUGCAACUCGACUACAUGAAGCUGGAAUCGCUAGUAAUCGUAGAUCAGCAUGCUACGGUGAAUACGUUCCCGGGUCU